GAAAUAUAAACCCUAAAAGCUUCUAACUUUUUCCUAUAGUGACCUUUAAUCAUUAAUAUUUCU
This 63-nucleotide transfer RNA is filed under the name Dipseudopsis sp. XG-2021. RNAcentral's name for it is "tRNA-Ser". The record is from RNAcentral. Lineage: Eukaryota; Metazoa; Arthropoda; Insecta; Trichoptera; Dipseudopsidae.